AUUGAACGCUGGCGGCAUGCCUUACACAUGCAAGUCGAACGGUAACAGGUCUUCGGAUGCUGACGAGUGGCGAACGGGUGAGUAAUACAUCGGAACGUGCCCGAUCGUGGGGGAUAACGGAGCGAAAGCUUUGCUAAUACCGCAUACGAUCUACGGAUGAAAGCAGGGGACCGCAAGGCCUUGCGCGGACGGAGCGGCCGAUGGCAGAUUAGGUAGUUGGGGGGAUAAAAGCUUACCAAGCCGACGAUCUGUAGCUGGUCUGAGAGGACGACCAGCCACACUGGGACUGAGACACGGCCCAGACUCCUACGGGAGGCAGCAGUGGGGAAUUUUGGACAAUGGGCGAAAGCCUGAUCCAGCCAUGCCGCGUGCAGGAUGAAGGCCUUCGGGUUGUAAACUGCUUUUGUACGGAACGAAAAGACUCUUACUAAUAAAGAGGGUCCAUGACGGUACCGUAAGAAUAAGCACCGGCUAACUACGUG
RNAcentral lists this ribosomal RNA (482 nucleotides) under uncultured bacterium. Its description in RNAcentral is "partial 16S ribosomal RNA". It matches the Rfam family "Bacterial small subunit ribosomal RNA", at positions 30 to 507 of the family's 1533-position model. The record is from RNAcentral.